RNAcentral lists this transfer RNA (66 nucleotides) under Lioporeus pilatei. RNAcentral's name for it is "tRNA-Trp". Lineage: Eukaryota; Metazoa; Arthropoda; Insecta; Coleoptera; Dytiscidae. The record is from RNAcentral.
AAGGAUUUAAGUUAAAAAAACUCACAGCCUUCAAAGCUGUAAAUAAAGAAAGUGCUUUAAGCCUUA